Molecule: non-coding RNA, 45 nt
Filed under: Trichobilharzia regenti
Lineage: Eukaryota; Metazoa; Platyhelminthes; Trematoda; Strigeidida; Schistosomatidae
Source: RNAcentral
CUCUAGAUGAAGAGUCCUAGAUAGGACGUAAUGUUCAUCCUGGAU